CUAAGUCGGAUAAAAAAGCACAAAAAUGGCUCCCAUGUAAUCAUCAAAGUAUGCUAAGUUCAGAGUGUUUUAGUAUCACAUAUGCUUUUCUAAAUAUUUUCUCCUUUAAUAAAGAGUUGAGCCAUUAGUCAUUAGGCACUGUUUUUUUUUUUUUUUUUUUUUUUUUUUUUAAUUUUUCUGUUGACAGAGGUCUUGCUCUGUUGCCCAAGGUGGAUUGCAGAGGCCUAAUCAUGGCUCACAGCAGUGUCUACCUCCCGGGCUUGAGCAAUCCUCCCACCUCAUCCUCCUGAGUAACUAGGACUUCAGGCCUGUGCCACCAUGCCUGGUUAAUUUUUUAAACUUUUGGUAGAGACAAGGUCUCCCUAUAUUUCCCAGGCUAGUCUCAAGCUCCUGAACUCAAGUAAUCCUCUUGCCUUGGUCUCCCAAGGUGCUGAGAUUACAGCUGUGGGCCACUGUGCCCACCCAGCACUGGCUUUUAAUAAGUGUCACUGAAGAGUAAGUCAGUAAGAAACAACCUUUAUCUCCAGGUGGUAGUAACUGAAAAUGAAAGUAACAGAAAGUGAGAACAUGGGGUGUGAUUGUUGCAGUAUGUAUUUUGCUGGUUUUUAUUAGUUUUGGGCCUCAAUUUGGACCUUUUGUACUAGAAUCUAAAGAUGAAGUUUCCCUGAUGGCAAAAUUACAAUCUGUCACUCACUAAUGUCAUUUCUUCCAUGAGUCACAUCCAUCCUGAAGGAAAGUGCUUGAACUAGGAACAUAUGCCUUUAUUACAUGUAGGGGCAAAGACUGUAAUCCUAUUAUUUACUUCACCCCCAUCUAAUACCUCUUAGUAAUAGGGAUAUUUAUUAUUAUUUAAACCAGAAGUUCACUUUAUUGUAUCCAUGUAAGUCUGUCUAGUCAGAUUGGAGUAAACUGAAUUCACUGCCUUGAAAUCUUCUGGCCAACUCAAGAUACAGUUGAAUUAAUUGAAUACAGCCAUGCACCGGUCAUAAUGGUAUUUUGGUCAAGGAUGGAUUGCAUGUACAACAGUGGUAUUAUAAGGGCAACUUCGUGUCCGGCAAGCCGCAUUCAUGGUAAGUGCCCUGUCCAGGUGUGCCAUUUUUUAUCUUUUCUACCAUAUUUUUACUGUUCAUUUUCCAUGUUUAGGUAUGUUUAGAUACAUAAGUACUUACUAUUGUGUUCCAAUUGCUCACAGUAUUUAGUAGAGGAACCUGCUGUGCAGAUUUGUAGCCUGGGAGUAAUAGGCUAUACCAUAUACUAGGUGUGUAGCAGGCUUGUGUAAGUACACUCUGUGUAGUUUGCACAAUGACAAAAUUGUCUGAGGACACUUUUCUCAGAGCAUAUCCUCAUCAUUAAGCGACGCAUGAUUAUACUUGAGUUGUAGAAUGCUGAUUACAUCAUUUGCCUUGAUCUUAAAAGCUCACUGAAACUUCCUAUUCUUUCAGGAGUUAUAUCCAUUUUUUUUCAAUCAAAACAUGAAAUACUCCAUCAGUCUGUCUCCGAAUUAACUAUAUUGUCUGCUCUGUUUCCUUAAAAUGAACAUAUUUUCAACUCACUGCUUCAGCCAGCCUUAGUCUUUGCUUAAGCAAUUUUUUUCCCAAUCUCUAUUCCAAUUGUAGCCAUAUUUCUUUUCAAGUCUUUCAUUAGGAGACAUUUUUUCCUUAGAAUUAAUCACAUUAUUUCCUAUUUCUGCCUCAGUGUUUAAAAACUUACUAUCUACAGAGUUUAUUGUACUUCACUGUGUAUAACUAAAUUAUAGCUAUAGCAUUUUAAUCCACUCACACCUACUAUAACACCUUAAGAAAUUGAACUUUUGGGCCGGGUGCAGUGGUGGUUCACACCUGUAAUCACAGCACUUUGGGAGGCUGAGGCGGGCGAACCACCUGAGGUCAGGAGUUCGAGACCAGCCUGGCCAACGUGGUGAAACCCCAUCUCUACUAAAAAUACAAAAAUUAGCCAGACAUGGUGGCAGGUGCCUGUAAUCCCAGCUACUCAGGAGGCUGAGGCAGGAGAAUCACUUGAACCCAAGAGGUGGAGGUUGCAGUGAGCUGAGAUUGCACCACUGCACUCCAGCCUGGGUGACAAGAGCGAAACUCCAUCUCUCAAAGAAAAAAAUAAAUAAACUUCUAGUGUGUAACAGGGAGUUAUUGAGAAAUUCAAAUAGGCAAUGAUGUUUGAGGUUUUUGAAAUGUGAGUGUAGAAGCGGUAUAGUGUUUGGAUUGGAGGAGGGAUAGACUGGACUCGUGGAGGCCAGUUAGCACAGGACUGAAAUAGUAUUGUCAAGAAAUGAUUAUCCCUGAAUUACAGAAAUAGCAGUAGGAGUUGAAAAAUACUGACAACAUUUGGGACAUGUUCAAAACAUUAAAUAUUUUUCUCUAUUAUUCUAGCAGGCUAGAAAACAUGACAAGUGAAAAUUUCCCCUCUAGAGUCCCUUUUCGUCACCUCUACUCUACUAUUGCUGGUUUCACAUACAUCUUAUAGAUUGAGGGAGUCAGGCUGGGUGGGGAGACUGGUUUCUUUUCUGGCUUUCUAAUUCUGCUGUAUAUCCUGCAAUGGCUUAAUUUCUGGUUGCUGGCUUCACAUUGAACAAAGUCCCUGUGACUAGGCCAUUUUCUGGGCGCAGAAAGACAAAAAGGAACUUGGUUCUUCUCCCUAGACUCAGCACUGCAACAUCCUUGAUGACAUCUAUCUAAUGGCCUUAUUUUUUCAACCUUGUUUUUUAUGACCAAGCUUCAGUUGCUAGACACAUUUAAGACUUGUAGGAACAGAAUUUGUCUUCUUGCUUCCAGGAAAACAGGUGCCUGUAAUCCCAGCUACUCGGGAGGCUGAGGCAGGAGAAUCACUUGAACCCAAGAGGUAGAGGUUUUCCUCUCCUGGUUUCUUCAAGACUUUAUUUCUAUUUCAAUUCCAACACCCUGUGCACUGGAACUCUACUGCUGAACAAUAAUGCCUGUGCUGUUCUCCAGACACAGGCCCUUAUUUUUGCAUUUCACAGUAACUCUUCCAUGAUAAUUGCAAGGUCAGAUUUUCUGGUCAUUAUCUGCUACUGACUUGUAUUUAUUUCUUCACUUGUGUGUUCAAAUAUGUUCAGUUAUCAAAAACCUAUUUUGUAUAAAUUACUCCACUGGCAUCAAGGAAAGCAUGCAUAGAAAUAAAAAAAAUUCCCUGCCCUCAGUAAACUUACACACUAGAAGAGUUGACUGAAAGUUGGUUUCACUGCCUUUCCAUUCUGACCUGUGAGAGAUUACCAUACAUUCUUCACUCUAAGUUCUUCUAUGAAAAAAUUACAUACACAAUACAUAAAAUGGAAUUUUUUACAUAACAAUGGAAAUAGAGAAAGUAGAAUAAAAAAGUAGAAGCUUUCUCCACUCCCAGAUACAUAUACAAACAUACCUGUUCUUUGUAGAAAGAACCAUCAUGAAGAAUUUCAUAUGUCCCCCUACACUACUUUUUAUUUGGCUUGAAAAAGUAUAUAUUUAUGUAUAUUAAAGCAUAUACAUUUUUAUACAUAAAUUUAUAUUACUAUAGAGCAAUUCUACUUAAAGCAUGCUUUCAGAUUUAAAUGAAUCUUGGUUCUAGAUACCUUCUCUUACUUAGAUUUUGCAAUAUUUUAAAGAUAAUCAAAUAAGGCAGUGCCACCUAAUUUCUAAAAAGCUAAUACCAGUUCUAAAUUAUGUGCGAACACUAUUCUAAUAUAAAAUACACAUUAAGCCAAACUCAAAAACUCUACCUCUUAAAUUAUGAAUGUGUGAUGCUGGUUAACCAGAUGGUUUUUCCAUUGAUUUGAACUCAAAGAAAUUAUCUAUGUAAAGUGGCUUAAAA
Molecule: long non-coding RNA, 3819 nt
Organism: Papio anubis (olive baboon)
Lineage: Eukaryota; Metazoa; Chordata; Mammalia; Primates; Cercopithecidae
Source: Ensembl